Molecule: ribosomal RNA, 253 nt
Filed under: uncultured bacterium
Lineage: Bacteria
Description: partial 16S ribosomal RNA
Rfam family: Bacterial small subunit ribosomal RNA
Source: RNAcentral
UACAGAGGUGGCAAGCGUUGUUCGGAAUUACUGGGCGUAAAGGGCGCGUAGGCGGCCUUCUAAGUCAGACGUGAAAUCCCCCGGCUUAACCUGGGAACUGCGUCUGAUACUGGGAGGCUUGAGUAUGGGAGAGGGAUGUAGAAUUCCAGGUGUAGCGGUGAAGUGCGUAGAUAUCUGGAGGAAUACCGGUGGCGAAGGCGGCAUCCUGGACCAUAACUGACGCUGAGGCGCGAAAGCUAGGGGAGCAAACGGG